This 30-nucleotide non-coding RNA is filed under the name Rattus norvegicus (Norway rat). Lineage: Eukaryota; Metazoa; Chordata; Mammalia; Rodentia; Muridae. The record is from RNAcentral.
UGGGCUGGCAUCCUACUGUCUUGUUGCCUA